This 915-nucleotide ribosomal RNA is filed under the name uncultured marine group I thaumarchaeote. RNAcentral describes it as "SSU rRNA". It matches the Rfam family "Archaeal small subunit ribosomal RNA", at positions 1 to 923 of the family's 1478-position model. The record is from RNAcentral. Lineage: Archaea; Thermoproteati; Nitrososphaerota.
UUCUGGUUGAUCUGCCGGACCUGACUGCUAUCGGAUUGAUACUAAGCCAUGCGAGUCUUUGUAGUAAUACAAGGCAUACGGCUCAGUAACACGUAGUCAACCUACCCUAUGGAUGAGAAUAAUCUCGGGAAACUGAGCAUAAUUCUUGAUAGAUCAUAAUGCCUGGAAUGGUUUAUGGUUAAAAUGAUUCGUCGCCAUAGGAUGGGACUGCGGCCUAUCAGCUUGUUGGUGAGGUAAUGGCCCACCAAGGCGAUUACAGGUACGGGCUCUGAGAGGAGAAGCCCGGAGAUGGGUACUGAGACACGGACCCAGGCCCUAUGGGGCGCAGCAGGCGAGAAAACUUUGCAAUGUGCGAAAGCACGACAAGGUUAAUCCGAGUGAUUUCUGCUAAAGAAAUCUUUUACCAGUCGUAAAACCGCUGGUGAAUAAGGGGUGGGCAAGUUCUGGUGUCAGCCGCCGCGGUAAAACCAGCACCUCAAGUGGUCAGGAUGAUUAUUGGGCCUAAAGCAUCCGUAGCCUGCUUUGUAAGUUUUCGGUUAAAUCCAUGUGCUCAACGCAUGGGCUGCCGAAAAUACUGCAUAGCUAGGGAGUGGAAGAGGUAGACGGUACUCAGUAGGUAGGGGUAAAAUCCUUUGAUCUAUUGAUGACCACCUGUGGCGAAGGCGGUCUACCAGAACACGUUCGACGGUGAGGGAUGAAAGCUGGGGGAGCAAACCGGAUUAGAUACCCGGGUAGUCCCAGCUGUAAACGAUGCAGACUAGAUGAUGCAUUGGCAUAAUAGCCAUUGCAGUGUCUCAGGGAAGCCGUUAAGUCUGCCGCCUGGGAAGUACGUACGCAAGUAUGAAACUUAAAGGAAUUGGCGGGGGAGCACCACAAGGGGUGAAGCCUGCGGUUCAAUUGGACUCAACGCCGGGA